UUGUAGUACAUGGUGCUAAUUAACGCCCAGCAGUAAUAGCCGUGUAAGACCUCACGCAUGCACCUUACGCUUACGCUGCUCAUGGCUUCCUUUUUAUUGACUUUCAACUCCGUAAUCUGACUCUUUAUCUGUUGUUAAAAGUGGUGGCAAGAAACCCAAUCCUAUUUCAGUUAUCUGGCUGUAAUCAUCGACCUGACCGCUGUCCAGUCCUGUUCUCUGGUGACCUGACACCACUCCUGCGUAAUUCGCCUGCUACCCUUGCCGAAUGGCCGGACGCGACUCCUGCGAGUUACCUACAGCCAUUGGGAACAUACACGGAACAAGCAUAAAGCCACCUUGAAGCUAAAACAAGACCAAGAACUGUCUCAGGACACACGGGCAGCCUCGAUGGACUUCGGUGGUUCUGCUGUGCGGAAACGUUGGCGAUCUUCCACAUUAUCUGCUCUUCUGCCAUCUGUCAGUGACAACUACCAUCAAUCCCAGGCAGACACUAGCUAAAUACCAUCGAAAACGCACUUCACAGCUGCUACAACUCUUACCAAUCACACUAUCAAACAAAUGCCUGCAGCUGUUGAGGGAAAAAAAAAAACACCUUGGGGUCCCUGCAGCUUCAUAAGCCAGCAAGGUUCAACCAUCCUCUCAUCGCCAUUCAGAAUAAAACAGCGAGAAGUUGGAGUGCGAUCAUCAGCCGCAGCAGAAACGAUUUUAAGAGAGGCCUCUUCAACUUUAUAGCCGCCAUGCCUGCCGCAACUUGGACAACAGGAUAGCAAAUGCACAUCAGCUGCUCACGCAAGAUGUUGAGAGGUUUUGUAACAGCGUGGUGAACCAGUAUUCAAACUUAAGCAAGCUAUUUUUGGAUAUCGUUCUGUAUAUUGUCAAGCUGACAAAUGCUCAGGUAAGUUUUUGUAUGACUAGGGCUUCUUUAACAACACAAGUCACGAAUAUUGAUGAAUUACAUCAAUUGUGCAAAGAGCAGAGGGCCAAAAUCCCGGUCAGAUUGAACAGUUAGACUGUGGUUAUUACUGCUGUGGUCAUCGUGAUAUAACCAGGUCUCCCCCCCCCCCCCCACACACACACUCACACUCAUGUUAUCUGAAUUUUUCAUAAUGUAGAAAAUCAGCCAGGACAAAUCAUUCUUCACAUGCUGAUAUAUAUUUUUUUUUACUUGCAUCCGAGUCAAAAAAUUAUAUUAUACGCACAUGGAUUAUUUUUAAGAGUUUAGAAACAUAGAAAGUGACGGCAGAUAAGAACCAGAAGGCCCAUCCAGUCUGCCCAACCUCUGAGUACUCUCCUUUAGUACUUGCCCUUAUCCUAUAUCUAGCUUGGCAUUAUGCCUAUCCCACGCUUGCUUAAAUGACUAUACUGUAUUAACAUCUACCACUUCCACUGGGAGGCUAUUCCAUGCGUCCACUACCCUUUCCGUAAAGUAAUAUUUUCUGAUGUUACCAUUAAACCUUUGCCCCUCUAGUUUAUGCUUGUGUCCUCUUGUUGCGGUUUUAUUUCUCCUUUUAAAUAAACUUUCUUCCUUUA
This is an RNA transcript of Spea bombifrons (plains spadefoot toad), 1530 nucleotides long. It is a transcript of the gene named ATP-binding cassette sub-family D member 3-like, with no coding region annotated. Lineage: Eukaryota; Metazoa; Chordata; Amphibia; Anura; Pelobatidae. The transcript is spliced from 6 exons. The record is from RefSeq and is a predicted model, not a curated record.